RNAcentral lists this ribosomal RNA (254 nucleotides) under uncultured bacterium. RNAcentral's name for it is "partial 16S ribosomal RNA". It matches the Rfam family "Bacterial small subunit ribosomal RNA", at positions 524 to 776 of the family's 1533-position model. The record is from RNAcentral.
UACGGGGGGGGCAAGCGUUGUUCGGAAUUACUGGGCGUAAAGGGCUCGUAGGCGGCCCUCUCAGUCGGAUGUGAAAUCCCCAGGCUUAACCUGGGAACGGCAUCCGAUACUGGAGGGCUUGAAUUCGGGAGAGGGAUGCAGAAUUCCAGGUGUAGCGGUGAAAUGCGUAGAUAUCUGGAGGAACACCGGUGGCGAAGGCGGCAUCCUGGACCAACACUGACGCUGAGUGAGCGAAAGCCAGGGGAGCAAACGGG